This 253-nucleotide ribosomal RNA is filed under the name uncultured bacterium. Its description in RNAcentral is "partial 16S ribosomal RNA". It matches the Rfam family "Bacterial small subunit ribosomal RNA", at positions 524 to 776 of the family's 1533-position model. The record is from RNAcentral.
UACGAAGGGGGCUAGCGUUGUUCGGAUUUACUGGGCGUAAAGCGCACGUAGGCGGAUUGUUAAGUCAGGGGUGAAAUCCUGGAGCUCAACUCCAGAACUGCCUUUGAUACUGGCAAUCUUGAGUCCGGAAGGGGUGAGUGGAACUGCGAGUGUAGAGGUGAAAUUCGUAGAUAUUCGCAAGAACACCAGUGGCGAAGGCGGCUCACUGGCCCGAUACUGACGCUGAGGCACGAAAGCGUGGGGAGCAAACAGG